UGCAGAGUGGUGUGAGCUGG
RNAcentral lists this non-coding RNA (20 nucleotides) under Rattus norvegicus (Norway rat). The record is from RNAcentral. Lineage: Eukaryota; Metazoa; Chordata; Mammalia; Rodentia; Muridae.